AGACCCGAAACCCGGUGAUCUAGCCAUGGGCAGGUUGAAGGUUGGGUAACACUAACUGGAGGACCGAACCGACUAAUGUUGAAAAAUUAGCGGAUGACCUGUGGCUGGGGGUGAAAGGCCAAUCAAACCGGGAGAUAGCUGGUUCUCCCCGAAAGCUAUUUAGGUAGCGCCUCGUGAAUUCAUCUCCGGGGGUAGAGCACUGUUUCGGCUAGGGGGCCAUCCCGGCUUACCAACCCGAUGCAAACUGCGAAUACCGGAGAAUGUUAUCACGGGAGACACACGGCGGGUGCUAACGUCCGUCGUGAAGAGGGAAACAACCCAGACCGCCAGCUAAGGUCCCAAAGUCAUGGUUAAGUGGGAAACGAUGUGGGAAGGCCCAGACAGCCAGGAUGUUGGCUUAGAAGCAGCCAUCAUUUAAAGAAAGCGUAAUAGCUCACUGGUCGAGUCGGCCUGCGCGGAAGAUGUAACGGGGCUAAACCAUGCACCGAAGCUGCGGCAGCGACGCUGAUGCGUUGUUGGGUAGGGGAGCGUUCUGUAAGCCUGCGAAGGUGGCCUGUGAGGGUUGCUGGAGGUAUCAGAAGUGCGAAUGCUGACAUAAGUAACGAUAAAGCGGGUGAAAAGCCCGCUCGCCGGAAGACCAAGGGUUCCUGUCCAACGUUAAUCGGGGCAGGGUGAGUCGACCCCUAAGGCGAGGCCGAAAGGCGUAGUCGAUGGGAAACGGGUUAAUAUUCCCGUACUUGGUGUUACUGCGAAGGGGGGACGGAGAAGGCUAUGUUGGCCGGGCGACGGUUGUCCCGGUUUAAGCGUGUAGGUGUGUGUUCCAGGUAAAUCCGGUUCACUUUAACACUGAGGCGUGAUGACGAGGCACUACGGUGCUGAAGCAACAAAUGCCCUGCUUCCAGGAAAAGCCUCUAAGCAUCAGGUAACAUCAAAUCGUACCCCAAACCGACACAGGUGGUCAGGUAGAGAAUACCAAGGCGCUUGAGAGAACUCGGGUGAAGGAACUAGGCAAAAUGGUGCCGUAACUUCGGGAGAAGGCACGCUGACACGUAGGUGAAGUGAUUUACUCAUGGAGCUGAAGUCAGUCGAAGAUACCAGCUGGCUGCAACUGUUUAUUAAAAACACAGCACUGUGCAAACACGAAAGUGGACGUAUACGGUGUGACGCCUGCCCGGUGCCGGAAGGUUAAUUGAUGGGGUCAGCGCAAGCGAAGCUCCUGAUCGAAGCCCCGGUAAACGGCGGCCGUAACUAUAACGGUCCUAAGGUAGCGAAAUUCCUUGUCGGGUAAGUUCCGACCUGCACGAAUGGCGUAAUGAUGGCCAGGCUGUCUCCACCCGAGACUCAGUGAAAUUGAACUCGCUGUGAAGAUGCAGUGUACCCGCGGCAAGACGGAAAGACCCCGUGAACCUUUACUAUAGCUUGACACUGAACAUUGAGCCUUGAUGUGUAGGAUAGGUGGGAGGCUUUGAAGUGUGGACGCCAGUCUGCAUGGAGCCGACCUUGAAAUACCACCCUUUAAUGUUUGAUGUUCUAACGUGGACCCGUGAUCCGGGUUGCGGACAGUGUCUGGUGGGUAGUUUGACUGGGGCGGUCUCCUCCUAAAGAGUAACGGAGGAGCACGAAGGUUGGCUAAUCCUGGUCGGACAUCAGGAGGUUAGUGCAAUGGCAUAAGCCAGCUUGACUGCGAGCGUGACGGCGCGAGCAGGUGCGAAAGCAGGUCAUAGUGAUCCGGUGGUUCUGAAUGGAAGGGCCAUCGCUCAACGGAUAAAAGGUACUCCGGGGAUAACAGGCUGAUACCGCCCAAGAGUUCAUAUCGACGGCGGUGUUUGGCACCUCGAUGUCGGCUCAUCACAUCCUGGGGCUGAAGUAGGUCCCAAGGGUAUGGCUGUUCGCCAUUUAAAGUGGUACGCGAGCUGGGUUUAGAACGUCGUGAGACAGUUCGGUCCCUAUCUGCCGUGGGCGCUGGAGAACUGAGGGGGGCUGCUCCUAGUACGAGAGGACCGGAGUGGACGCAUCACUGGUGUUCGGGUUGUCAUGCCAAUGGCACUGCCCGGUAGCUAAAUGCGGAAGAGAUAAGUGCUGAAAGCAUCUAAGCACGAAACUUGCCCCGAGAUGAGUUCUCCCUGAGACUUAAAGUCUCCUGAAGGAACGUUGAAGACGACGACGUUGAUAGGCCGGGUGUGUAAG
RNAcentral lists this ribosomal RNA (2187 nucleotides) under Salmonella enterica subsp. enterica serovar Chester. RNAcentral's name for it is "partial 23S ribosomal RNA". It matches the Rfam family "Bacterial large subunit ribosomal RNA", at positions 711 to 2873 of the family's 2925-position model. The record is from RNAcentral. Lineage: Bacteria; Pseudomonadati; Pseudomonadota; Gammaproteobacteria; Enterobacterales; Enterobacteriaceae.